RNAcentral lists this long non-coding RNA (1942 nucleotides) under Musa acuminata (dwarf banana). RNAcentral's name for it is "long non-coding RNA (MACU_LNC004710)". Lineage: Eukaryota; Viridiplantae; Streptophyta; Magnoliopsida; Zingiberales; Musaceae. The record is from RNAcentral.
GUAAUCCCCCAGCUCGUUCGUUACGUCUCAGUCGGUUCUUCUCCGCCUCAAGAAGACCUCGGCGAUCGAGAACUCCCGAUGGCUCUGGAAUGCCCCUUCCCCCAACAGUAAAUAAAGGAGGUAGUAGUAAUCCCUCGUCUUGUCCACGACGCUCUGACGACCUUUCCCCUGUCUCUGUCGGUUCUCCUACGCCCUCAAGAAGACCUCAGGUGACGACGACAUCGGUCCUGUGUACCCCGCCGCCUACUCCCUCCCCUAGUAUCAGCAGGUUGUCUCGCCCGAUCCUCUCUUUGUUUCCGUUUCUCGUUGGGUAGCCGCGAGUAUAAUGAUAUCUUCUUCUUGAAAGACCCGUUCCUUGUUGGUUUUAUUUGAUAAAAUCUUGAUCUCCCGUUGGAAUCCGAGAUGCAUUUCGUUGUUGCUGGAUGGUUUGAUGUUGUUUCCUAGGAUGCGUGAAUCUAAAGAAAUUUCGUAUAGUUUCGUUUAUCAUUCAUGGUAUAUAAGCCUAAGAGAUAUCAAGGCUCUCCCUCUUUCCAUUAAAUUUAAAGGAUCUUUUGAAUCUUUCCUUCUUUGUUUGUUCUCUUUCCUUUGUACGCAAGAAGAGUUUCUUGUUUUGAGAUUAAUAACGAAGGAGCAUGAUAUUGAUGCCUAGUGUUGUUACCAGCUGAAAUUUCUGGGUACAAGAGUGGACGAUUGUUCAUAUUGUUAGUAAUGAACGCGGUGGUAACAAUUUCCAGGUGUCAGCAUUUUCGCAGAUAUUUGGAAUAGAAACUAAUUUGAAGAGGUACCCAACAUAAGAAAGAUUUAGUUCGUCUUUCGGCUGAGAGUAAUCCGAAUUACUUUGAUUUGGAUUAGGGUUUAUUUUAUCAAGAACAUCUCAUACAGACAAUUCUUUAAUUUCUUUCAUAAUGACUGUUCCUACGAUCUUUUGUCUUCUUUUUUUUUUUGCGUUGAUACUGUGCAAAACAAUAAAUCCUACGCUAUAAAUGUUCUUUUCUCAUAAUUUCUUGUGCGUCAACCACAAUUUUGGUUUGCGCGAAACCAUAUGCUAUAUACAUGGGAACUUAUAAUUGUUGGAGACACUGUAUCAUAACGGUCAUGCAUGUUUCGGGAAGAAAGCACCCUUAAUUAAUUUGAGAAAAUUGUAACAGGAUUUUCGUGCUGGAAGAGGGUUUUUAUAGCGACGGUUACUAUUGCCUGAUGUGUCUGCCCGUAGAGAGUAGGAUCGUACUUCUGAUAGCGUCUGACAUCGAUGUUGGCGUGGCGCGAGGGAUCGAGCCUGAGCAGGAUGUUAAUGUGCUUCGGUCGACGUUUCGAUCCGUGUUGAUCAGGUGCUGUCAGGUCAACAGAGACAUGAGGCGUAAUCUGGGACAACUGACGUUACCCGAGUCUUAUCAUCAUUAUUAUCCUCAUCAAUAGUCCGCCAUGAAACAUAUGCAAAUGACAUGAAGACCCUAAGAUUCUGAUAAUAAUAGAAAUCUUGAUCCGAGUUGCCAUUAAAUCGCGGAAGAUCGAUCCAAAACGAAACCCUACGCUCCAAAAUGUUUGAAAUCGUGAUCGGAGGACCCAUAAGCUAUCACUUGCGUUCCUAGCAAAAGAAAAAUCAGGAUCUAACGCCCACAGAACUCCCAACUCCAUAUUUCCGAGAACUGAGACAUAUCGAACGAGAUCAACCAACAAACUAGGCUUCAAGAUUCAAGAUAAGCGAAACCCAGACGGGAAGAAGGGCCAAAUACAAAUCGCGUAUGGUAGGGAGGUUCUCUAGGCUUCAAGAUUCAAGAUAAGCGAAACCCAGAUCGAAAGAAGAAUCGGAUAUGCUUGGAAGGUUCUCAAGGCUUCAAGAUUCAGGAUAAGCAAAACCCCGAUCGAAAGAAGCAUUAACAGGAAUCGGCUUGAAGAUUCAAGAAAAACAAAACCCAGAUCGAAAGAAGCAUCAACAGAAAUC